Molecule: ribosomal RNA, 546 nt
Filed under: Triticum aestivum (bread wheat)
Lineage: Eukaryota; Viridiplantae; Streptophyta; Magnoliopsida; Poales; Poaceae
Description: partial small subunit ribosomal RNA
Source: RNAcentral
AUGCAGCAGGUGACCAUGUCUCCUUCCAUCUGCCUCGCCAUCUUGUUGCUUGCACUGGUCUCGCCGUCACCGGCAUCAGCCAGCAUUACCAACAACAAUGGCGUCGCCGUCGCGGCCCCUAGAGUGCCCGUGGCGUUCCAGUUCCUGCAGGGGCACAACGACGCGCGCCGCGAGGUCGGCGUGGCACCCCUGGAGUGGAACUGGACGCUGGGGCAGGACGCCAAGCGGUACGCGGCCCAGCUCGUCGUCCGCUGCAAGCUGGAGCCGCCAAAGUACAUCCCGCCGAUCUACGCGCGGAACAGGUACUGGGGCAGCGGGAAACAAGACGGCGCCGCCGCCACCGGCUCGUGGGUGUACGAGCGGCGGUGGUACGACCACGGCGCCAACGCGUGCGCGCCCGGCAAGGAAUGCGGGUCCUACAAGUUGGUGGUGCGGAACACCACGCGAGAGCUCGGCUGCGCCUGCCGCACCUGCCGCGGCAGCAACGACACCGUGGCUGUUUGCAGCUACUCCCCUGGCGGCAACUUCGCCGACCCGCCAUACUGA